GAAACCUAUCCCAUUCAGGAAAUGCAAACUUUGCAGCUCUUGGGGAAAUACCGCAUCACCAUCUCUGCAUUCACUUAAGGUUUUGCCAAUGCUGGGACCCAGGACCUUUACUGCAAUGACCAGCAUGGUAACCUCCUACCCACAGAUAGCAUUCUUGACCAUUAUUAUCAACUGAAAAGUAAUGUGCCCUGGUCAGUAUGGAUUUCCAGUCGGGUGGUCCCCGCCGAAGGAACCGGGACCAGACCCAUGUUUGUGCACAUCACGGCCUCGCUGCUAUGGGACGCUUGUUUCCCUUG
Molecule: long non-coding RNA, 296 nt
Organism: Lutra lutra (Eurasian river otter)
Lineage: Eukaryota; Metazoa; Chordata; Mammalia; Carnivora; Mustelidae
Exons: 3
Source: RefSeq, a predicted model, not a curated record